GAUGAACGCUGGCGGCGUGCCUAAUACAUGCCAGUCGAGCGAACAGACGAGGAGCUUGCUCCUCUGACGUUAGCGGCGGACGGGUGAGUAACACGUGGAUAACCUACCUAUAAGGCUGGGAUAACUUCGGGAAACCGGAGCUAAUACCGGAUAAUAUAUUGAACCGCAUGGUUCAAUAGUGAAAGACGGUUUUGCUGUCACUUAUAGAUGGAUCCGCGCCGCAUUAGCUAGUUGGUAAGGUAACAGCUUACCAAGGCAACGAUGCGUAGCCGACCUGAGAGGGUGAUCGGCCACACUGGAACUGAGACACGGUCCAGACUCCUACGGGAGGCAGCAGUAGGGAAUCUUCCGCAAUGGGCGAAAGCCUGACGGAGCAACGCCGCGUGAGUGAUGAAGGUCUUCGGAUCGUAAAACUCUGUUAUUAGGGAAGAACAAAUGUGUAAGUAACUAUGCACGUCUUGACGGUACCUAAUCAGAAAGCCACGGCUAACUACGUG
RNAcentral lists this ribosomal RNA (497 nucleotides) under uncultured bacterium. RNAcentral describes it as "partial 16S ribosomal RNA". It matches the Rfam family "Bacterial small subunit ribosomal RNA", at positions 28 to 507 of the family's 1533-position model. The record is from RNAcentral.